UCAGGCUGUGACCCUCUAGAGGGAAGCACUCUCUGUUGUCUGAAAGAAAAGAAGAUGCUUCCCUUUAGAG
This 70-nucleotide microRNA precursor is filed under the name Saimiri boliviensis boliviensis (Bolivian squirrel monkey). RNAcentral's name for it is "miRNA (ENSSBOG00000004783.1)". It matches the Rfam family "mir-515 microRNA precursor family", at positions 3 to 72 of the family's 87-position model. The record is from RNAcentral. Lineage: Eukaryota; Metazoa; Chordata; Mammalia; Primates; Cebidae.